UAAGUGCAUAAAAGGUCAAUUUUUCCUCCAAAAUAAUAGCUAUUAGUUGAAGGUAAUGAAGGAUCUGAUGUACAUGAGGACGAUAUGGGCCCAACCUAUGAUGAAGUUGACAAUGUAGGAGAUGAAGGGGAUUGAAGGGAGAUAUUGAUAAGUCGCUUGUUAUCAGAAAUAGUCUUAUGGCUAAGUUUGCAAGGUCGUAAUGAAUAGGGAAAGCUAGGAGAAUGUCACAUCUCAAGAGGCUAUUACAAAGCAACUCUACCUAUAGAGAAGCAUCCUUGGCCUUAUAAGCUUUCUUGGUUCCAGAACGGAAGUGAUAUAACCAUAGAUAGUGGAUGUUUGGUAUUGUUUU
This 349-nucleotide long non-coding RNA is filed under the name Phoenix dactylifera (date palm). RNAcentral describes it as "long non-coding RNA (PDAC_LNC020802)". The record is from RNAcentral. Lineage: Eukaryota; Viridiplantae; Streptophyta; Magnoliopsida; Arecales; Arecaceae.